UGGGUUGUGGCUCAGGGGUAGAGCAGUUGCCUCUCCUGCAUGAGACCCUGGGUUCAAUCCUCAGCACCACAU
This 72-nucleotide transfer RNA is filed under the name Ictidomys tridecemlineatus (thirteen-lined ground squirrel). Its description in RNAcentral is "Spermophilus tridecemlineatus (thirteen-lined ground squirrel) tRNA". It matches the Rfam family "tRNA". Rfam says of the family: Transfer RNA (tRNA) molecules are approximately 80 nucleotides in length. The record is from Rfam by way of RNAcentral. Lineage: Eukaryota; Metazoa; Chordata; Mammalia; Rodentia; Sciuridae.